AACAUCUUUAACUGCUUCACAGUUAGUAAGACCUGCUCCAUGAAAAUUAAAUAGCCGCUUAUUGUGCUAAGGUAGCAUAAUAAAUAGCCUGAUAAUUUCAGGAUAGAAUGAAAGGUUUAACAUGAAACUUUCUUUAUUAUUUCUAAUAAUUGAACUUUAUUUGAAAGUAAAAAAGCUUUCAUAGCAAGAGGGACGACAAGACCCUGUCGAGCUUAACUUUUGUUGAACUGGGGCAGUCAAAAAUAUAAGCUUUUUAAUUUUAUUUUUCCCAUCCUUAAUUGUGAUAAAUCAAGCUACCGCAGGGAUAACAGCACAAUCCUAUUCAAGAGACCUGAUCAAAAAUAGGGAUUAUGACCUCGAUGUUGAAUUAAUUUUUCUCUUUGGAGCAAAAUCUCAAGAAGUAAGUCUGUUCGACUUUUAAUAAAUUACGUGAUCUGAGUUCCAGAACCGG
Molecule: ribosomal RNA, 451 nt
Filed under: Psalmopoeus cambridgei (Trinidad chevron tarantula)
Lineage: Eukaryota; Metazoa; Arthropoda; Arachnida; Araneae; Theraphosidae
Description: partial 16S ribosomal RNA
Rfam family: Bacterial large subunit ribosomal RNA
Source: RNAcentral